This is a long non-coding RNA of Leopardus geoffroyi (Geoffroy's cat), 817 nucleotides long. RefSeq lists it as uncharacterized. The transcript has 2 exons. Lineage: Eukaryota; Metazoa; Chordata; Mammalia; Carnivora; Felidae. The record is from RefSeq and is a predicted model, not a curated record.
CUUUGAACUAUUAAUAGUAACACAUUACUUGCCACAGAGCUCACAACAGAUUGUGACAUACCGUUGGAUCUUGACCUCCGUGUCUAGUGCAGAGAAUAAGUGACUCCUGAGGAAAAAAGGACAGAAAUUUGAGGCAAAUUAAGAAAAAUAGAGGAAGACACAUGGAGUACCAGGAUGCAGGGUGAGAAGACCCACAUCUCCUUGUGCUUAGGGGCAAUGCUCUUUCAUACGCAAAGGCCAUCAAGGUGCUCAGUGAAGAGCAUUCCUUCAGAAACAGAAGAGUCCUGAGAUUGAGGCUUCCUUUUAAGGCACUUGUUUUAGAUGACUUUUUCCUCUGCCAUUUCUAAAGAUAUCAGAAAUAUGUGAUCUUAGAGUUUGAAGCAAAAACAGACAUGUUUAACUGAACCAGUUCAGCACCUGUCCCUAGGGCUUUCCUGACAGAGACCUCACUAUGGCCCUGAUUUAGCCUAAGGGCAGUUCUAAAUAACUUGGACAGGUUUGUAGGCAGUGUCUUUGAGACGACAUUUAACGACACCAACGCAAAUCUACCCACAACUGGUUUUAACACCACAGUAACUUUACAAGGAAGGUGGGGACUCUAGGGCUUAUCACUUUCGUCUAUGGCUUUCAUCCCAGUCAACUUCAUGCAUCAACCAAAAUGCGAUAUUUCUGAUAACCAGUAUUUGACUAUUCGGUUAUAUUUCUCCUGCUGUUGACCUGUUCCCCCUUGCCUUUCUGUGCGAUUGCUCCUAAACAUGUUCCUUCUCUUUCACUGUAAACCUCUAUUCUUUCAUAAAUAAAUUGAUGGUGUACCUCA